Xyrichtys novacula (pearly razorfish) is the source of this 16520-nucleotide non-coding RNA. The record is from the annotation of a GenBank genome assembly. NCBI's taxonomy places the organism in Eukaryota, Metazoa, Chordata, Actinopteri, Labriformes, Labridae.
GCUAGGAUUUUUCUGAGUGCAAUGAACCAACUCCCGAGUCUCUAGGACAUUCCUAAAAAAAAAUUUGAUUUUUUCCCAUAGGAAUGCAUGGGUUAGGGUUAUGGUUAGGGUUAGGGUUGGAGCUAGGGUUAGGGUUAGGGUUAGGGUUGGAGUUAGGGUUAGUGUUGGAGCUAGGGUUAGGGUUGGGCUUGGAGCUAGGAUUUUUCUGAGUGCAAUGAACCAACUCCCGAGUCUCUAGGACGUUCUAAAAAAAAUUUGAUUUUUUCCCAUAGGAAUGCAUGGGUUAGGGUUAUGGUUAGGGUUAGGGUUGGAGCUAGGGUUAGGGUUAGGGUUAGGGUUGGAGUUAGGGUUAGUGUUGGAGCUAGGGUUAGGGUUGGGCUUGGAGCUAGGAUUUUUCUGAGUGCAAUGAACCAACUCCCGAGUCUCUAGGACGUUCCUAAAAAAAUUUGAUUUUUUCCCAUAGGAAUGCAUGGGUUAGGGUUAGGGUUAGGGUUGGAGCUAGGGUUAGGGUUAGGGUUAGGGUUGGAGUUAGGGUUAGUGUUGGAGCUAGGGUUAGGGUUGGGCUUGGAGCUAGGAUUUUUCUGAGUGCAAUGAACCAACUCCCGAGUCUCUAGGACGUUCCUAAAAAAAAAUUUGAUUUUUUCCCAUAGGAAUGCAUGGGUUAGGGUUAGGGUUAGGGUUGGAGCUAGGGUUAGGGUUAGGGUUAGGGUUGGAGUUAGGGUUAGUGUUGGAGCCAGGGUUAGGGUUGGGCUUGGAGCUAGGAUUUUUCUGAGUGCACUGAACCAACUCCCGAGUCUCUAGGACAUUCCUAAAAAAUUUGAUUUUUUUCCCAUAGGAAUGCAUGGGUUAGGGUUAGUGGUUAGGGUUAGGGUUGGAGCUAGGGUUAGGGUUAGGGUUAGGGUUGGAGUUAGGGUUAGUGUUGGAGCUAGGGUUAGGGUUGGGCUUGGAGCUAGGAUUUUUCUGAGUGCAAUGAACCAACCCCCGAGUCUCUAGGACGUUCCUAAAAAAAUUUGAUUUUUUCCCUAUAGGAAUGCAUGGGUUAGGGUUAGGGUUAGGGUUGGAGCUAGGGUUAGGGUUAGGGUUAGGGUUGGAGUUAGGGUUAGUGUUGGAGCUAGGGUUAGGGUUGGGCUUGGAGCUAGGAUUUUUCUGAGUGCAAUGAACCAACUCCCGAGUCUCUAGGACGUUCCUAAAAAAAUUUGAUUUUUUCCCAUAGGAAUGCAUGGGUUAGGGUUAGGGUUAGGGUUGGAGCUAGGGUUAGGGUUAGGGUUAGGGUUGGAGUUAGGGUUAGUGUUGGAGCUAGGGUUAGGGUUGGGCUUGGAGCUAGGUUUUUCUGAGGGUGCACUGAACCAACUCCCGAGUCUCUAGGACAUUCCUAAAAAAAUUUGAUUUUUUCCCAUAGGAAUGCAUGGGUUAGGGUUAUGGUUAGGGUUGGAGCUAGGGUUAGGGUUAGGGUUAGGGUUGGAGUUAGGGUUAGUGUUGGAGCUAGGGUUAGGGUUGGGCUUGGAGCUAGGAUUUUUCUGAGUGCACUGAACCAACUCCCGAGUCUCUAGGACAUUCCUAAAAAAAUUUGAUUUUUUCCCAUAGGAAUGCAUGGGUUAGGGUUAGGGUUAGGGUUGGAGCUAGGGUUAGGGUUAGGGUUAGGGUUGGAGUUAGGGUUAGUGUUGGAGCUAGGGUUAGGGUUGGGCUUGGAGCUAGGAUUUUUCUGAGUGCACUGAACCAACUCCCGAGUCUCUAGGACAUUCCUAAAAAAAUUUGAUUUUUCCCAUAGGAAUGCAUGGGUUAGGGUUAUGGUUAGGGUUAGGGUUGGAGCUAGGGUUAGGGUUAGGGUUAGGGUUGGAGUUAGGGUUAGUGUUGGAGCUAGGGUUAGGGUUGGGCUUGGAGCUAGGAUUUUUCUGAGUGCACUGAACCAACUCCCGAGUCUCUAGGACAUUCCUAAAAAAAUUUGAUUUUUUUCCCAUAGGAAUGCAUGGGUUAGGGUUAGGGUUAUGGUUAGGGUUAGGGUUAGGGUUAGGGUUAGGGUUGGAGUUAGGGUUAGUGUUGGAGCUAGGGUUAGGGUUGGGCUUGGAGCUAGGAUUUUUCUGAGUGCACUGAACCAACUCCCGGGUCUCUAGGACAUUCCUAAAAAAAUUUGAUUUUUUCCCAUAGGAAUGCAUGGGUUAGGGUUAGGGUUAGGGUUGGAGCUAGGGUUAGGGUUAGGGUUAGGGUUGGAGUUAGGGUUAGUGUUGGAGCUAGGGUUAGGGUUGGGCUUGGAGCUAGGAUUUUUCUGAGUGCAAUGAACCAACUCCCGAGUCUCUAGGACAUUCCUAAAAAAAUUUGAUUUUUUCCCAUAGGAAUGCAUGGGUUAGGGUUAGGGUUAGGGUUGGAGCUAGGGUUAGGGUUAGGGUUAGGGUUGGAGUUAGGGUUAGUGUUGGAGCUAGGGUUAGGGUUGGGCUUGGAGCUAGGAUUUUUCUGAGUGCACUGAACCAACUCCCGAGUCUCUAGGACAUUCCUAAAAAAAUUUGAUUUUUUUCCCAUAGGAAUGCAUGGGUUAGGGUUAUGGUUAGGGUUAGGGUUGGAGCUAGGGUUAGGGUUAGGGUUAGGGUUGGAGUUAGGGUUAGUGUUGGAGCUAGGGUUAGGGUUGGGCUUGGAGCUAGGAUUUUUCUGAGUGCAAUGAACCAACCCCCGAGUCUCUAGGACGUUCCUAAAAAAAUUUGAUUUUUUCCCAUAGGAAUGCAUGGGUUAGGGUUAUGGUUAGGGUUGGAGCUAGGGUUAGGGUUAGGGUUAGGGUUGGAGUUAGGGUUAGUGUUGGAGCUAGGGUUAGGGUUGGGCUUGGAGCUAGGAUUUUUCUGAGUGCAAUGAACCAACUCCCGAGUCUCUAGGACGUUCCUAAAAAAUUUGAUUUUUUCCCAUAGGAAUGCAUGGGUUAGGGUUAGGGUUAGGGUUGGAGCUAGGGUUAGGGUUAGGGUUAGGGUUGGAGUUAGGGUUAGUGUUGGAGCUAGGGUUAGGGUUGGGCUUGGAGCUAGGAUUUUUCUGAGUGCACUGAACCAACUCCCGAGUCUCUAGGACGUUCCUAAAAAAAUUUGAUUUUUUCCCAUAGGAAUGCAUGGGUUAGGGUUAUGGUUAGGGUUAGGGUUAGGGUUGGAGUUAGGGUUAGUGUUGGAGCUAGGGUUAGGGUUGGGCUUGGAGCUAGGAUUUUUCUGAGUGCACUGAACCAACUCCCGAGUCUCUAGGACAUUCCUAAAAAAAUUUGAUUUUUUCCCAUAGGAAUGCAUGGGUUAGGGUUAGGGUUAGGGUUGGAGCUAGGGUUAGGGUUAGGGUUAGGGUUGGAGUUAGGGUUAGUGUUGGAGCUAGGGUUAGGGUUGGGCUUGGAGCUAGGAUUUUUCUGAGUGCACUGAACCAACUCCCGAGUCUCUAGGACAUUCCUAAAAAAAUUUGAUUUUUUCCUAUAGGAAUGCAUGGGUUAGGGUUAUGGUUAGGGUUAGGGUUGGAGCUAGGGUUAGGGUUAGGGUUAGGGUUGGAGUUAGGGUUAGUGUUGGAGCUAGGGUUAGGGUUGGGCUUGGAGCUAGGAUUUUUCUGAGUGCACUGAACCAACUCCCGAGUCUCUAGGACAUUCCUAAAAAAAUUUGAUUUUUUCCCAUAGGAAUGCAUGGGUUAGGGUUAGGGUUAGGGUUGGAGCUAGGGUUAGGGUUAGGGUUAGGGUUGGAGUUAGGGUUAGUGUUGGAGCUAGGGUUAGGGUUGGGCUUGGAGCUAGGAUUUUUCUGAGUGCACUGAACCAACUCCCGAGUCUCUAGGACAUUCCUAAAAAAAUUUGAUUUUUUCCUAUAGGAAUGCAUGGGUUAGGGUUAUGGUUAGGGUUAGGGUUGGAGCUAGGGUUAGGGUUAGGGUUAGGGUUGGAGUUAGGGUUAGUGUUGGAGCUAGGGUUAGGGUUGGGCUUGGAGCUAGGAUUUUUCUGAGUGCACUGAACCAACUCCCGAGUCUCUAGGACAUUCCUAAAAAAAUUUGAUUUUUUCCCAUAGGAAUGCAUGGGUUAGGGUUAUGGUUAGGGUAAGGGUUGGAGCUAGGGUUAGGGUUAGGGUUAGGGUUGGAGUUAGGGUUAGUGUUGGAGCUAGGGUUAGGGUUGGGCUUGGAGCUAGGAUUUUUCUGAGUGCAAUGAACCAACUCCCGAGUCUCUAGGACGUUCCUAAAAAAAUUUGAUUUUUUCCCAUAGGAAUGCAUGGGUUAGGGUUAGGGUUAGGGUUGGAGCUAGUGUUAGGGUUAGGGAUAGGGUUGGAGUUAAGGUUAGUGUUGGAGCUAGGGUUAGGGUUGGGCUUGGAGCUAGGAUUUUUCUGAGUGCACUGAACCAACUCCCGAGUCUCUAGGACGUUCCUAAAAAAAUUUGAUUUUUUCCCAUAGGAAUGCAUGGGUUAGGGUUAUGGUUAGGGUUGGAGCUAGGGUUAGGGUUAGGGUUAGGGUUGGAGUUAGGGUUAGUGUUGGAGCUAGGGUUAGGGUUGGGCUUGGAGCUAGGAUUUUUCUGAGUGCAAUGAACCAACUCCCGAGUCUCUAGGACGUUCCUAAAAAAAUUUGAUUUUUUCCCAUAGGAAUGCAUGGGUUAGGGUUAGGGUUAGGGUUGGAGCUAGGGUUAGGGUUAGGGUUAGGGUUGGAGUUAGGGUUAGUGUUGGAGCUAGGGUUAGGGUUGGGCUUGGAGCUAGGAUUUUUCUGAGUGCACUGAACCAACUCCCGAGUCUCUAGGACGUUCCUAAAAAAAUUUGAUUUUUUCCCAUAGGAAUGCAUGGGUUAGGGUUAGGGUUAGGGUUAGGGUUGGAGCUAGGGUUAGGGUUAGGGUUAGGGUUGGAGUUAGGGUUGGGCUUGGAGCUAGGGUUAGGGUUGGGCUUGGAGCUAGGAUUUUUCUGAGUGCAAUGAACCAACCCCGAGUCUCUAGGACGUUCCUAAAAAAUCUGAUUUUUUCCCAUAGGAAUGCAUGGGUUAGGGUUAUGGUUAGGGUUAGGGUUGGAGCUAGGGUUAGGGUUAGGGUUAGGGUUGGAGUUAGGGUUAGUGUUGGAGCUAGGGUUAGGCUUGGGCUUGGAGCUAGGAUUUUUCUGAGUGCAAUGAACCAACUCCCGAGUCUCUAGGACGUUCCUAAAAAAAUUUGAUUUUUUCCCAUAGGAAUGCAUGGGUUAGGGUUAGGGUUAGGGUUGGAGCUAGGGUUAGGGUUAGGGUUAGGGUUGGAGUUAGGGUUAGUGUUGGAGCUAGGGUUAGGGUUGGGCUUGGAGCUAGGAUUUUUCUGAGUGCACUGAACCAACUCCCGAGUCUCUAGGACAUUCCUAAAAAAAUUUGAUUUUUUCCCAUAGGAAUGCAUGGGUUAGGGUUAGGGUUAGGGUUGGAGCUAGGGUUAGGGUUAGGGUUAGGGUUGGAGUUAGGGUUAGUGUUGGAGCUAGGGUUAGGGUUGGGCUUGGAGCUAGGAUUUUUCUGAGUGCACUGAACCAACUCCCGAGUCUCUAGGACAUUCCUAAAAAAUUUGAUUUUUUCCCAUAGGAAUGCAUGGGUUAGGGUUAUGGUUAGGGUUAGGGUUGGAGCUAGGGUUAGGGUUAGGGUUAGGGUUGGAGUUAGGGUUAGUGUUGGAGCUAGGGUUAGGGUUGGGCUUGGAGCUAGGAUUUUUCUGAGUGCAAUGAACCAACUCCCGAGUCUCUUGGACGUUCCUAAAAAAAUUUGAUUUUUUUCCCAUAGGAAUGCAUGGGUUAGGGUUAGGGUUAGGGUUGGAGCUAGGGUUAGGGUUAGGGUUAGGGUUGGAGUUAGGGUUAGUGUUGGAGCUAGGGUUAGGGUUGGGCUUGGAGCUAGGAUUUUUCUGAGUGCACUGAACCAACUCCCGAGUCUCUAGGACAUUCCUAAAAAAAUUUGAUUUUUUCCCAUAGGAAUGCAUGGGUUAGGGUUAGGGUUAGGGUUGGAGCUAGGGUUAGGGUUAGGGUUAGGGUUGGAGUUAGGGUUAGUGUUGGAGCUAGGGUUAGGGUUGGGCUUGGAGCUAGGAUUUUUCUGAGUGCACUGAACCAACUCCCGAGUCUCUAGGACAUUCCUAAAAAAAUUUGAUUUUUUCCCAUAGGAAUGCAUGGGUUAGGGUUAUGGUUAGGGUUAGGGUUGGAGCUAGGGUUAGGGUUAGGGUUAGGGUUGGAGUUAGGGUUAGUGUUGGAGCUAGGGUUAGGGUUGGGCUUGGAGCUAGGAUUUUUCUGAGUGCACUGAACCAACUCCCGAGUCUCUAGGACAUUCCUAAAAAAAUUUGAUUUUUUCCCAUAGGAAUGCAUGGGUUAGGGUUAGGGUUAGGGUUGGAGCUAGGGUUAGGGUUAGGGUUAGGGUUGGAGUUAGGGUUAGUGUUGGAGCUAGGGUUAGGGUUGGGCUUGGAGCUAGGAUUUUUCUGAGUGCACUGAACCAACUCCCGAGUCUCUAGGACAUUCCUAAAAAAAUUUGAUUUUUUCCCAUAGGAAUGCAUGGGUUAGGGUUAUGGUUAGGGUUAGGGUUGGAGCUAGGGUUAGGGUUAGGGUUAGGGUUGGAGUUAGGGUUAGUGUUGGAGCUAGGGUUAGGGUUGGGCUUGGAGCUAGGAUUUUUCUGAGUGCAAUGAACCAACUCCCGAGUCUCUUGGACGUUCCUAAAAAAAUUUGAUUUUUUCCCAUAGGAAUGCAUGGGUUAGGGUUAGGGUUAGGGUUGGAGCUAGGGUUAGGGUUAGGGUUAGGGUUGGAGUUAGGGUUAGUGUUGGAGCUAGGGUUAGGGUUGGGCUUGGAGCUAGGAUUUUUCUGAGUGCACUGAACCAACUCCCGAGUCUCUAGGACAUUCCUAAAAAAAUUUGAUUUUUUCCCAUAGGAAUGCAUGGGUUAGGGUUAGGGUUAGGGUUGGAGCUAGGGUUAGGGUUAGGGUUAGGGUUGGAGUUAGGGUUAGUGUUGGAGCUAGGGUUAGGGUUGGGCUUGGAGCUAGGAUUUUUCUGAGUGCAAUGAACCAACUCCCGAGUCUCUUGGACGUUCCUAAAAAAAUUUGAUUUUUUCCCAUAGGAAUGCAUGGGUUAGGGUUAGGGUUAGGGUUGGAGCUAGGGUUAGGGUUAGGGUUAGGGUUGGAGUUAGGGUUAGUGUUGGAGCUAGGGUAGGGUUGGGCUUGGAGCUAGGAUUUUUCUGAGUGCAAUGAACCAACUCCCGAGUCUCUUGGACGUUCCUAAAAAAAUUUGAUUUUUUCCCAUAGGAAUGCAUGGGUUAGGGUUAGGGUUAGGGUUGGAGCUAGGGUUAGGGUUAGGGUUAGGGUUGGAGUUAGGGUUAGUGUUGGAGCUAGGGUUAGGGUUGGGCUUGGAGCUAGGAUUUUUCUGAGUGCAAUGAACCAACUCCCGGGUCUCUAGGACGUUCCUAAAAAAAUUUGAUUUUUUCCCAUAGGAAUGCAUGGGUAAGGGUUAGGGUUAGGGUUGGAGCUAGGAUUAGGGUUAGGGUUAGGGUUGGAGUUAAGGUUAGUGUUGGAGCUAGGGUUAGGGUUGGGCUUGGAGCUAGGAUUUUUCUGAGUGCAAUGAACCAACUCCCGAGUCUCUAGGACGUUCCUAAAAAAAUUUGAUUUUUUCCCAUAGGAAUGCAUGGGUUAGGGUUAUGGUUAGGGUUAGGGUUGGAGCUAGGGUUAGGGUUAGGGUUAGGGUUGGAGUUAGGGUUAGUGUUGGAGCUAGGGUUAGGGUUGGGCUUGGAGCUAGGAUUUUUCUGAGUGCAAUGAACCAACCCCCGAGUCUCUAGGACGUUCCUAAAAAAUUUGAUUUUUUCCCAUAGGAAUGCAUGGGUUAGGGUUAUGGUUAGGGUUAGGGUUGGAGCUAGGGUUAGGGUUAGGGUUAGGGUUGGAGUUAGGGUUAGUGUUGGAGCUAGGGUUAGGGUUGGGCUUGGAGCUAGGAUUUUUCUGAGUGCAAUGAACCAACUCCCGAGUCUCUAGGACGUUCCUAAAAAAAUUUGAUUUUUUCCCAUAGGAAUGCAUGGGUUAGGGUUAGGGUUAGGGUUGGAGCUAGGGUUAGGGUUAGGGUUAGGGUUGGAGUUAGGGUUAGUGUUGGAGCUAGGGUUAGGGUUGGGCUUGGAGCUAGGAUUUUUCUGAGUGCACUGAACCAACUCCCGAGUCUCUAGGACAUUCCUAAAAAAAUUUGAUUUUUUCCCAUAGGAAUGCAUGGGUUAGGGUUAGGGUUAGGGUUGGAGCUAGGGUUAGGGUUAGGGUUAGGGUUGGAGUUAGGGUUAGUGUUGGAGCUAGGGUUAGGGUUGGGCUUGGAGCUAGGAUUUUUCUGAGUGCACUGAACCAACUCCCGAGUCUCUAGGACAUUCCUAAAAAAAUUUGAUUUUUUCCUAUAGGAAUGCAUGGGUUAGGGUUAUGGUUAGGGUUAGGGUUGGAGCUAGGGUUAGGGUUAGGGUUAGGGUUGGAGUUAGGGUUAGUGUUGGAGCUAGGGUUAGGGUUGGGCUUGGAGCUAGGAUUUUUCUGAGUGCACUGAACCAACUCCCGAGUCUCUAGGACAUUCCUAAAAAAAUUUGAUUUUUUCCCAUAGGAAUGCAUGGGUUAGGGUUAGGGUUAGGGUUGGAGCUAGGGUUAGGGUUAGGGUUAGGGUUGGAGUUAGGGUUAGUGUUGGAGCUAGGGUUAGGGUUGGGCUUGGAGCUAGGAUUUUUCUGAGUGCACUGAACCAACUCCCGAGUCUCUAGGACAUUCCUAAAAAAAUUUGAUUUUUUCCUAUAGGAAUGCAUGGGUUAGGGUUAUGGUUAGGGUUAGGGUUGGAGCUAGGGUUAGGGUUAGGGUUAGGGUUGGAGUUAGGGUUAGUGUUGGAGCUAGGGUUAGGGUUGGGCUUGGAGCUAGGAUUUUUCUGAGUGCACUGAACCAACUCCCGAGUCUCUAGGACAUUCCUAAAAAAAUUUGAUUUUUUCCCAUAGGAAUGCAUGGGUUAGGGUUAUGGUUAGGGUAAGGGUUGGAGCUAGGGUUAGGGUUAGGGUUAGGGUUGGAGUUAGGGUUAGUGUUGGAGCUAGGGUUAGGGUUGGGCUUGGAGCUAGGAUUUUUCUGAGUGCAAUGAACCAACUCCCGAGUCUCUAGGACGUUCCUAAAAAAAUUUGAUUUUUUCCCAUAGGAAUGCAUGGGUUAGGGUUAGGGUUAGGGUUGGAGCUAGUGUUAGGGUUAGGGAUAGGGUUGGAGUUAAGGUUAGUGUUGGAGCUAGGGUUAGGGUUGGGCUUGGAGCUAGGAUUUUUCUGAGUGCAAUGAACCAACUCCCGAGUCUCUAGGACGUUCCUAAAAAAAUUUGAUUUUUUCCCAUAGGAAUGCAUGGGUUAGGGUUAUGGUUAGGGUAAGGGUUGGAGCUAGGGUUAGGGUUAGGGUUAGGGUUGGAGUUAGGGUUAGUGUUGGAGCUAGGGUUAGGGUUGGGCUUGGAGCUAGGAUUUUUCUGAGUGCAAUGAACCAACUCCCGAGUCUCUAGGACGUUCCUAAAAAAAUUUGAUUUUUUCCCAUAGGAAUGCAUGGGUUAGGGUUAGGGUUAGGGUUGGAGCUAGGGUUAGGGUUAGGGAUAGGGUUGGAGUUAAGGUUAGUGUUGGAGCUAGGGUUAGGGUUGGGCUUGGAGCUAGGAUUUUUCUGAGUGCACUGAACCAACUCCCGAGUCUCUAGGACGUUCCUAAAAAAAUUUGAUUUUUUCCCAUAGGAAUGCAUGGGUUAGGGUUAGGGUUAGGGUUAGGGUUGGAGCUAGGGUUAGGGUUAGGGUUAGGGUUGGAGUUAGGGUUGGGCUUGGAGCUAGGGUUAGGGUUGGGCUUGGAGCUAGGAUUUUUCUGAGUGCAAUGAACCAACCCCCGAGUCUCUAGGACGUUCCUAAAAAAAUCUGAUUUUUUCCCAUAGGAAUGCAUGGGUUAGGGUUAUGGUUAGGGUUAGGGUUGGAGCUAGGGUUAGGGUUAGGGUUAGGGUUGGAGUUAGGGUUAGUGUUGGAGCUAGGGUUAGGCUUGGGCUUGGAGCUAGGAUUUUUCUGAGUGCAAUGAACCAACUCCCGAGUCUCUAGGACGUUCCUAAAAAAAUUUGAUUUUUUCCCAUAGGAAUGCAUGGGUUAGGGUUAGGGUUAGGGUUGGAGCUAGGGUUAGGGUUAGGGUUAGGGUUGGAGUUAGGGUUAGUGUUGGAGCUAGGGUUAGGGUUGGGCUUGGAGCUAGGAUUUUUCUGAGUGCACUGAACCAACUCCCGAGUCUCUAGGACAUUCCUAAAAAAAUUUGAUUUUUUCCCAUUGGAAUGCAUGGGUUAGGGUUAGGGUUAGGGUUGGAGCUAGGGUUAGGGUUAGGGUUAGGGUUGGAGUUAGGGUUAGUGUUGGAGCUAGGGUUAGGGUUGGGCUUGGAGCUAGGAUUUUUCUGAGUGCACUGAACCAACUCCCGAGUCUCUAGGACAUUCCUAAAAAAAUUUGAUUUUUUCCCAUAGGAAUGCAUGGGUUAGGGUUAUGGUUAGGGUUAGGGUUGGAGCUAGGGUUAGGGUUAGGGUUAGGGUUGGAGUUAGGGUUAGUGUUGGAGCUAGGGUUAGGGUUGGGCUUGGAGCUAGGAUUUUUCUGAGUGCAAUGAACCAACUCCCGAGUCUCUUGGACGUUCCUAAAAAAAUUUGAUUUUUUCCCAUAGGAAUGCAUGGGUUAGGGUUAGGGUUAGGGUUGGAGCUAGGGUUAGGGUUAGGGUUAGGGUUGGAGUUAGGGUUAGUGUUGGAGCUAGGGUUAGGGUUGGGCUUGGAGCUAGGAUUUUUCUGAGUGCACUGAACCAACUCCCGAGUCUCUAGGACAUUCCUAAAAAAAUUUGAUUUUUUCCCAUAGGAAUGCAUGGGUUAGGGUUAGGGUUAGGGUUGGAGCUAGGGUUAGGGUUAGGGUUAGGGUUGGAGUUAGGGUUAGUGUUGGAGCUAGGGUUAGGGUUGGGCUUGGAGCUAGGAUUUUUCUGAGUGCACUGAACCAACUCCCGAGUCUCUAGGACAUUCCUAAAAAAAUUUGAUUUUUUCCCAUAGGAAUGCAUGGGUUAGGGUUAUGGUUAGGGUUAGGGUUGGAGCUAGGGUUAGGGUUAGGGUUAGGGUUGGAGUUAGGGUUAGUGUUGGAGCUAGGGUUAGGGUUGGGCUUGGAGCUAGGAUUUUUCUGAGUGCACUGAACCAACUCCCGAGUCUCUAGGACAUUCCUAAAAAAAUUUGAUUUUUUCCCAUAGGAAUGCAUGGGUUAGGGUUAGGGUUAGGGUUGGAGCUAGGGUUAGGGUUAGGGUUAGGGUUGGAGUUAGGGUUAGUGUUGGAGCUAGGGUUAGGGUUGGGCUUGGAGCUAGGAUUUUUCUGAGUGCACUGAACCAACUCCCGAGUCUCUAGGACAUUCCUAAAAAAAUUUGAUUUUUUCCCAUAGGAAUGCAUGGGUUAGGGUUAUGGUUAGGGUUAGGGUUGGAGCUAGGGUUAGGGUUAGGGUUAGGGUUGGAGUUAGGGUUAGUGUUGGAGCUAGGGUUAGGGUUGGGCUUGGAGCUAGGAUUUUUCUGAGUGCAAUGAACCAACUCCCGAGUCUCUUGGACGUUCCUAAAAAAAUUUGAUUUUUUCCCAUAGGAAUGCAUGGGUUAGGGUUAGGGUUAGGGUUGGAGCUAGGGUUAGGGUUAGGGUUAGGGUUGGAGUUAGGGUUAGUGUUGGAGCUAGGGUUAGGGUUGGGCUUGGAGCUAGGAUUUUUCUGAGUGCACUGAACCAACUCCCGAGUCUCUAGGACAUUCCUAAAAAAAUUUGAUUUUUUCCCAUAGGAAUGCAUGGGUUAGGGUUAGGGUUAGGGUUGGAGCUAGGGUUAGGGUUAGGGUUAGGGUUGGAGUUAGGGUUAGUGUUGGAGCUAGGGUUAGGGUUGGGCUUGGAGCUAGGAUUUUUCUGAGUGCAAUGAACCAACUCCCGAGUCUCUUGGACGUUCCUAAAAAAAUUUGAUUUUUUCCCAUAGGAAUGCAUGGGUUAGGGUUAGGGUUAGGGUUGGAGCUAGGGUUAGGGUUAGGGUUAGGGUUGGAGUUAGGGUUAGUGUUGGAGCUAGGGAUAGGGUUGGGCUUGGAGCUAGGAUUUUUCUGAGUGCAAUGAACCAACUCCCGAGUCUCUUGGACGUUCCUAAAAAAAUUUGAUUUUUUCCCAUAGGAAUGCAUGGGUUAGGGUUAGGGUUAGGGUUGGAGCUAGGGUUAGGGUUAGGGUUAGGGUUGGAGUUAGGGUUAGUGUUGGAGCUAGGGUUAGGGUUGGGCUUGGAGCUAGGAUUUUUCUGAGUGCAAUGAACCAACUCCCGGGUCUCUAGGACGUUCCUAAAAAAAUUUGAUUUUUUCCCAUAGGAAUGCAUGGGUAAGGGUUAGGGUUAGGGUUGGAGCUAGGAUUAGGGUUAGGGUUAGGGUUGGAGUUAAGGUUAGUGUUGGAGCUAGGGUUAGGGUUGGGCUUGGAGCUAGGAUUUUUCUGAGUGCAAUGAACCAACUCCCGAGUCUCUAGGACGUUCCUAAAAAAAUUUGAUUUUUUCCCAUAGGAAUGCAUGGGUUAGGGUUAUGGUUAGGGUUAGGGUUGGAGCUAGGGUUAGGGUUAGGGUUAGGGUUGGAGUUAGGGUUAGUGUUGGAGCUAGGGUUAGGGUUGGGCUUGGAGCUAGGAUUUUUCUGAGUGCAAUGAACCAACCCCCGAGUCUCUAGGACGUUCCUAAAAAAUUUGAUUUUUUCCCAUAGGAAUGCAUGGGUUAGGGUUAUGGUUAGGGUUAGGGUUGGAGCUAGGGUUAGGGUUAGGGUUAGGGUUGGAGUUAGGGUUAGUGUUGGAGCUAGGGUUAGGGUUGGGCUUGGAGCUAGGAUUUUUCUGAGUGCAAUGAACCAACUCCCGAGUCUCUAGGACGUUCCUAAAAAAUUUGAUUUUUUCCCAUAGGAAUGCAUGGGUUAGGGUUAGGGUUAGGGUUGGAGCUAGGGUUAGGGUUAGGGUUAGGGUUGGAGUUAGGGUUAGUGUUGGAGCUAGGGUUAGGGUUGGGCUUGGAGCUAGGAUUUUUCUUAGUGCAGUGAACCAACUCCCGAGUCUCUAGGACAUUCCUAAAAAAUUUGAUUUUUUCCCAUAGGAAUGCAUGGGUUAGGGUUAGGGUUAGGGUUGGAGCUAGGGUUAGGGUUAGGGUUAGGGUUGGAGUUAGGGUUAGUGUUGGAGCUAGGGUUAGGGUUGGGCUUGGAGCUAGGAUUUUUCUGAGUGCACUGAACCAACUCCCGAGUCUCUAGGACAUUCCUAAAAAAAUUUGAUUUUUUCCCAUAGGAAUGCAUGGGUUAGGGUUAUGGUUAGGGUUAGGGUUGGAGCUAGGGUUAGGGUUAGGGUUAGGGUUGGAGUUAGGGUUAGUGUUGGAGCUAGGGUUAGGGUUGGGCUUGGAGCUAGGAUUUUUCUGAGUGCAAUGAACCAACUCCCGAGUCUCUUGGACGUUCCUAAAAAAAUUUGAUUUUUUCCCAUAGGAAUGCAUGGGUUAGGGUUAGGGUUAGGGUUGGAGCUAGGGUUAGGGUUAGGGUUAGGGUUGGAGUUAGGGUUAGUGUUGGAGCUAGGGUUAGGGUUGGGCUUGGAGCUAGGAUUUUUCUGAGUGCACUGAACCAACUCCCGAGUCUCUAGGACAUUCCUAAAAAAAUUUGAUUUUUUCCCAUAGGAAUGCAUGGGUUAGGGUUAGGGUUAGGGUUGGAGCUAGGGUUAGGGUUAGGGUUAGGGUUGGAGUUAGGGUUAGUGUUGGAGCUAGGGUUAGGGUUGGGCUUGGAGCUAGGAUUUUUCUGAGUGCACUGAACCAACUCCCGAGUCUCUAGGACAUUCCUAAAAAAAUUUGAUUUUUUCCCAUAGGAAUGCAUGGGUUAGGGUUAUGGUUAGGGUUAGGGUUGGAGCUAGGGUUAGGGUUAGGGUUAGGGUUGGAGUUAGGGUUAGUGUUGGAGCUAGGGUUAGGGUUGGGCUUGGAGCUAGGAUUUUUCUGAGUGCAAUGAACCAACUCCCGAGUCUCUUGGACGUUCCUAAAAAAAUGUGAUUUUUUCCCAUAGGAAUGCAUGGGUUAGGGUUAGGGUUAGGGUUGGAGCUAGGGUUAGGGUUAGGGUUAGGGUUGGAGUUAGGGUUAGUGUUGGAGCUAGGGUUAGGGUUGGGCUUGGAGCUAGGAUUUUUCUGAGUGCACUGAACCAACUCCCGAGUCUCUAGGACAUUCCUAAAAAAAUUUGAUUUUUUCCCAUAGGAAUGCAUGGGUUAGGGUUAGGGUUAGGGUUGGAGCUAGGGUUAGGGUUAGGGUUAGGGUUGGAGUUAGGGUUAGUGUUGGAGCUAGGGUUAGGGUUGGGCUUGGAGCUAGGAUUUUUCUGAGUGCACUGAACCAACUCCCGAGUCUCUAGGACAUUCCUAAAAAAAUUUGAUUUUUUCCCAUAGGAAUGCAUGGGUUAGGGUUAUGGUUAGGGUUAGGGUUGGAGCUAGGGUUAGGGUUAGGGUUAGGGUUGGAGUUAGGGUUAGUGUUGGAGCUAGGGUUAGGGUUGGGCUUGGAGCUAGGAUUUUUCUGAGUGCAAUGAACCAACUCCCGAGUCUCUUGGACGUUCCUAAAAAAAUUUGAUUUUUUCCCAUAGGAAUGCAUGGGUUAGGGUUAGGGUUAGGGUUGGAGCUAGGGUUAGGGUUAGGGUUAGGGUUGGAGUUAGGGUUAGUGUUGGAGCUAGGGUUAGGGUUGGGCUUGGAACUAGGAUUUUUCUGAGUGCAAUGAACCAACUCCCGAGUCUCUAGGACGUUCCUAAAAAAAUUUGAUUUUUUCCCAUAGGAAUGCAUGGGUUAGGGUUAGGGUUAGGGUUGGAGCUAGGGUUAGGGUUAGGGUUAGGGUUGGAGUUAAGGUUAGUGUUGGAGCUAGGGUUAGGGUUGGGCUUGGAGCUAGGAUUUUUCUGAGUGCAAUGAACCAACUCCCGAGUCUCUAGGACGUUCCUAAAAAAAUUUGAUUUUUUCCCAUAGGAAUGCAUGGGUUAGGGUUAUGGUUAGGGUUAGGGUUGGAGCUAGGGUUAGGGUAAGGGUUAGGGUUGGAGUUAGGGUUAGUGUUGGAGCUAGGGUUAGGGUUGGGCUUGGAGCUAGGAUUUUUCUGAGUGCAAUGAACCAACCCCCGAGUCUCUAGGACGUUCCUAAAAAAAUUUGAUUUUUUCCCAUAGGAAUGCAUGGGUUAGGGUUAUGGUUAGGGUUAGGGUUGGAGCUAGGGUUAGGGUUAGGGUUGGAGUUAGGGUUAGUGUUGGAGCUAGGGUUAGGGUUGGGCUUGGAGCUAGGAUUUUUCUGAGUGCAAUGAACCAACUCCCGAGUCUCUAGGACAUUCCUAAAAAAAUUUGAUUUUUUUCCCAUAGGAAUGCAUGGGUUAGGGUUAGGGUUAGGGUUGGAGCUAGGGUUAGGGUUAGGGUUAGGGUUGGAGUUAGGGUUAGUGUUGGAGCUAGGGUUAGGGUUGGGCUUGGAGCUAGGAUUUUUCUGAGUGCAAUGAACCAACUCCCGAGUCUCUAGGACGUUCCUAAAAAAAUUUGAUUUUUUCCCAUAGGAAUGCAUGGGUUAGGGUUAGGGUUAGGGUUGGAGCUAGGGUUAGGGUUAGGGUUAGGGUUGGAGUUAGGGUUAGUGUUGGAGCUAGGGUUAGGGUUGGGCUUGGAGCUAGGAUUUUUCUGAGUGCACUGAACCAACUCCUGAGUCUCUAGGACAUUCCUAAAAAAAUUGAUUUUUUCCCAUAGGAAUGCAUGGGUUAGGGUUAGGGUUAGGGUUGGAGCUAGGGUUAGGGUUAGGGUUAGGGUUGGAGUUAGGGUUAGUGUUGGAGCUAGGGUUAGGGUUGGGCUUGGAGCUAGGAUUUUUCUGAGUGCACUGAACCAACUCCCGAGUCUCUAGGACAUUCCUAAAAAAAUUUGAUUUUUUCCCAUAGGAAUGCAUGGGUUAGGGUUAGGGUUAGGGUUGGAGCUAGGGUUAGGGUUAGGGUUAGGGUUGGAGUUAGGGUUAGUGUUGGAGCUAGGGUUAGGGUUGGGCUUGGAGCUAGGAUUUUUCUGGGUGCAAUGAACCAACUCCCGAGUCUCUUGGACGUUCCUAAAAAAUUUGAUUUUUUCCCAUUGCAAUGCAUUUGUUAGGGUUAGGGUUAGGGUUAGGGUUAGGGUUGGAGCUAGGGUUAGGGUUAGGGUUAGGGUUGGAGUUAGGGUUAGUGUUGGAGCUAGGGUUAGGGUUGGGCUUGGAGCUAGGAUUUUUCUGAGUGCAAUGAACCAACUCCCGAGUCUCUAGGACGUUCCUAAAAAAAUUUGAUUUUUUCCCAUAGGAAUGCAUGGGUUAGGGUUAUGGUUAGGGUUAGGGUUGGAGCUAGGGUUAGGGUUAGGGUUAGGGUUGGAGUUAGGGUUAGUGUUGGAGCUAGGGUUAGGGUUGGGCUUGGAGCUAGGAUUUUUCUGAGUGCAAUGAACCAACCCCCGAGUCUCUAGGACGUUCCUAAAAAAAUUUGAUUUUUUCCCAUAGGAAUGCAUGGGUUAGGGUUAUGGUUAGGGUUAGGGUUGGAGCUAGGGUUAGGGUUAGGGUUAGGGUUGGAGUUAGGGUUAGUGUUGGAGCUAGGGUUAGGGUUGGGCUUGGAGCUAGGAUUUUUCUGAGUGCAAUGAACCAACUCCCGAGUCUCUAGGACGUUCCUA